RNAcentral lists this ribosomal RNA (253 nucleotides) under uncultured Eubacteriales bacterium. RNAcentral describes it as "uncultured Clostridiales bacterium partial 16S ribosomal RNA". It matches the Rfam family "Bacterial small subunit ribosomal RNA", at positions 524 to 776 of the family's 1533-position model. Lineage: Bacteria; Bacillati; Bacillota; Clostridia; Eubacteriales. The record is from RNAcentral.
UACGGGGGAUGCAAGCGUUAUCCGGAAUGACUGGGCGUAAAGGGUGCGUAGGUGGUUUGACAAGUUGGUAGCGCAACUCCGGGGCUCAACCUCGGCACUACUACCAAAACUGUUGAACUUGAGUGCAGGAGAGGUAAGUGGAAUUCCUAGUGUAGCGGUGAAAUGCGUAGAUAUUAGGAGGAACACCAGUGGCGAAGGCGGCUUACUGGACUGUAACUGACGUUGAGGCUCGAAAGCGUGGGGAGCAAACAGG